This is a long non-coding RNA of Brachypodium distachyon (stiff brome), 1287 nucleotides long. RefSeq lists it as uncharacterized. The transcript has 3 exons. The record is from RefSeq and is a predicted model, not a curated record. NCBI's taxonomy places the organism in Eukaryota, Viridiplantae, Streptophyta, Magnoliopsida, Poales, Poaceae.
AGAACUUCCACCAUGCCGGCGCGCGGGCGUCGGGGCCCUGCCGGUUCCACUGCCGGUCGCGCUCCAGGACGUAGACGCCUUGGACUAGGCUCGCCAUGACGGAUCGCCGGUGGUGCGGGCAGUUCCUGCCCGGAGCAAAGCAUCAAACAGCAAAGCUGCAGGAUCUGGGUAAUAUUUUUGUUGUGGCUGACUCAGGCUGGAGAAGUUAAGAAAUGGCACUUGAAGAAGAGGUGGGGAGAAGACCUGAGGAGGAGCAUGAAGUCUUUCCCUCUGUACGGGGGGUCGUAGUACAAGUUGCUUAAAUAAUAAGGCACACACUACAUCUCACGCAGAUUUGCACAACAUUAGCUUCAUUUGCGUCUUAUUAUCCCUGAAACAGCAAGUAGGAAACACAGUCCAGACGCAAACGCUCACAAUCACGCGCACACACAUUGGUGAGGGCGGUGAUGACACCUUUUUAUUUCCCCUUCUAUCCUUUGUCAUCAUUGUUUCUACUUUCUAUCCUCUAUUGUUUACAUUUCCCUUACAAUAACCAUGAGGAUUUACAGCUUCGAUUCCUUUUAGAACUCAUACUGUUCGAAGGUCUUGAAAGGUGCUGGUGGUCACAUAAUGAUGUGCUAAAUCAUUGUUUCUUCUUUUAAAAGCUCUGGAUCGAGAGCUGAGAGAGAUGAUAAUGUGUCAAAGUAAAAGUAUUGCAUAUUCUAACACCCCGUCCUUUGUCUUCCAAUGUCACACCUCACUUCCAUAGCGGCCACUUAAUCUAAGUUGUGUGGAAACAUUUGAAAGGAGAGAAACCGCUUCGUCUUCACGGGAAAACGGACUAACCUACAAGGAGGUGCCGAACUUUUUAUUUUUAACCUGGUGUUGGCAGACAGCUCAGGGUCGUGUUUUUGGGAUUAGUCUGCAUGUUGAUUGGGUUUUAGUGGUCUUGGCCCUUGGCCAAACUUUAUUUACUAGUUUAAAAAGUAGUGAGCGGUCCUGCAUUUCCUUACCAAGGAAAAAAGAACUGUAAUGGACAGAGCAGCAUAUGUUGAACACAUUGUUUGAGAUUUCAGAGCACACAAGUGAUCUGAAGGUAAGAAGAAGUGUGUUUAUUUGAAUAACCCUUGCACUUUGUACAUUGUUACAGUAAUCACACAAAAUUCUCUGUAGGCCUAGAAACUCCUUCAGCAUAUUGUGUCUGAAGUCCUUUUUUCUUGUUCCUUGAUGGCGAACAUUACCUCUACUUGUAUCAUGAAGAGACUACUGCAGGUGUUGCUGGACGAGGAACAUCCACUAACCGCUCAA